This 815-nucleotide long non-coding RNA is filed under the name Citrus x clementina. Its description in RNAcentral is "Citrus clementina (C. clementina) long non-coding RNA (CCLE_LNC005512)". The record is from RNAcentral. Lineage: Eukaryota; Viridiplantae; Streptophyta; Magnoliopsida; Sapindales; Rutaceae.
UAUUCACAUUAAAAUUAUAAAUUGAAACAAUUCAUUUUUAAUUCAAGACAAAGUAAACACAUGAAUGAGACUUUAUUUUUAUUUCACAUUUUUCAUUUCAGUGUAAGUAAACAAUCUAUUUCUACUCCCACUUCACACUCCUGAUCUCAAUAUUCUCACUUUUCAGACUUCCCAAUCCAAUUAAAAAAUACUGUCAAAAAGUUAGUUUGAUGAACAUUCAUAUAAUUAUAAUUAUUUCAUUAAUGAAGGGUAGUUAUCAAAUGUUUUUCCAAAACACAUUCGCUUUUAAUUAUAUUAUUAAUAUCCAACUCAAACAUUAAAAUUUAUUUAGCAAAUAUACAUACACAUCAGAUUGAAGAUUAAAUACUUUUCGGAGCAUGCUUUUGACUUGAUAUCUAAAUAUAAAUGCUUUUUAUUUUUUAUUUUUUGUGUUUAAUUUUCAUAUCAACACUUAUUCAUAAAGGGUAUGAAAUAAUAUUGCCAUUUUAAGGUGCAGAUCAAUGACAGCUAGAUGCUUGGGCUUGGGCUCGGCUACAUGGAGACAUUUUGAGAUCCUAUCUCUCUGAGUUAAUACUGGUUGGUGUACCAAACGUAUAUUUUAUUAUGGAUAUACCUUCCACAUUUAUAUCCAAAUUUUUUAAACUAUAACGUAAAGUCUUAUAAAUCAAAAUUCUCAUUAUUCAUCAUAAAUGUGUCCCUAUUUCAAAUUUAAAUAUAAUAGUACUAUAGGGAAAAGGCCUAAACGUAUAUAAAUUAUCUUCCAAUUUAAACUGCCGUUUGCGGAUUAGUAAUUUGAAUUCUAUUAUCAAUUUUUU